UACGUAGGGUGCAAGCGUUGUCCGGAAUUAUUGGGCGUAAAGAGCUCGUAGGCGGUCUGUCGCGUCGGAUGUGAAAACUCGGGGCUCAACCCCGAGCCUGCAUUCGAUACGGGCAGACUAGAGUUCGGUAGGGGAGACUGGAAUUCCUGGUGUAGCGGUGAGAUGCGCAGAUAUCAGGAGGAACACCGGUGGCGAAGGCGGGUCUCUGGGCCGAUACUGACGCUGAGGAGCGAAAGCGUGGGGAGCGAACAGG
RNAcentral lists this ribosomal RNA (253 nucleotides) under uncultured bacterium. RNAcentral's name for it is "partial 16S ribosomal RNA". It matches the Rfam family "Bacterial small subunit ribosomal RNA", at positions 524 to 776 of the family's 1533-position model. The record is from RNAcentral.